Molecule: ribosomal RNA, 676 nt
Filed under: uncultured crenarchaeote
Lineage: Archaea; Thermoproteati; Thermoproteota
Description: bacterial SSU rRNA
Rfam family: Archaeal small subunit ribosomal RNA
Source: RNAcentral
CCCUAUGGGGUGCAGCAGGCGCGAAACCUCCACAAUGCGCGAAAGCGUGAUGGGGUUAGCCCGAGUGCUGUCCGAAAAGGAUGGCUUUUCCUUGGUGUAAAAAUCCAUGGGAAUAAAGGGGGGGCAAGACUGGUGUCAGCCGCCGCGGUAAUACCAGCCCCCUGAGUGGUAAGGACGAUUAUUUGGCUUAAAGCGUCCGUAGCCGGCUUAGUGAGUCUUUUGUUAAAUCCAAUGAUUUAAUCAUUGAACUGCAAGAGAUACUACUAUGCUAGAGGACGGGAGAGGUCGACGGUAGUCCAAGGGUAGGGGUGAAAUCCUAUAAUCCUUGGAGGACCACCAGUGGCGAAGGCGGUCGACUAGAACGUGCCUGACGGUGAGGGACGAAAGCUGGGGGAGCGAACCGGAUUAGAUACCCGGGUAGUCCCAGCUGUAAACGAUGCGGGCUAGGUGUAGGGGCAGCUACGAGCUGCUCCUGUGCCGCAGAGAAAUUGUUAAGCCCGCCGCCUGGGGAGUACGAUCGCAAGAUUGAAACUUAAAGGAAUUGGCGGGGGAGCACCACAAGGGGUGAAGGCUGCGGUUUAAUUGGAGUCAACGCCGGGAACCUUACCGGGGCUGACAGCAGGGUGAAGGCCAGAUUGAAGCUCUUGCCAGACAAGCUGAGAAGAAGUGCAUGGCC